This 185-nucleotide ribosomal RNA is filed under the name uncultured eukaryote. RNAcentral's name for it is "partial small subunit ribosomal RNA". It matches the Rfam family "Eukaryotic small subunit ribosomal RNA", at positions 1295 to 1463 of the family's 1831-position model. The record is from RNAcentral.
UCGUUGGUGGGGUGACUUGUUUGGUUUAUUCCGUGAACGAACGAGAUCUCCACUGCUAAAUAGAGGCAAAAUCGAUUACUGGAUGUGCGGGGUCCUUCGGGAUUCCUGCAAUCCAAGAUAGUGUCGUCUUCUUAGCAGCACUUCGCGUGUCUUUUAGCGCGAUGGAGCGAGCCAAUAGCAGGUCU